UACGGAGGGUGCAAGCGUUGCUCGGAAUUAUUGGGCGUAAAGGGUAGGUAGGUGGUCUUAUUUGUCUGGGGUGAAAGCCUUGAGCUUAACUCAAGAAGUGCCCCAGAAACGGUGAGACUAGAGUCUUGGAGAGGGUCGUGGAAUUCCCGGUGUAGCGGUGAAAUGCGUAGAGAUCGGGAGGAACACCAGAGGCGAAAGCGGCGACCUGGACAAGCACUGACACUCAACUACGAAAGCGUGGGGAGCAAACAGG
RNAcentral lists this ribosomal RNA (253 nucleotides) under uncultured bacterium. Its description in RNAcentral is "partial 16S ribosomal RNA". It matches the Rfam family "Bacterial small subunit ribosomal RNA", at positions 524 to 776 of the family's 1533-position model. The record is from RNAcentral.